AGGCGGGCGACUAGCGCGGCAGCCGGAGGGCAUCCCGCCCCGCCCGGGACCCCGGGAAGCAAGAGUAAUUUCAAGGCAGGCCCAGCAGUGACGACUUGGAAACCCAUCUUAAGAUGUCUCAGGUGUCAGUUUUCCCCUCCUCCUCUUAUUCAAGCUCACACCCCUUAUGCCCUCUCCUACCAG
Molecule: long non-coding RNA, 183 nt
Organism: Lynx canadensis (Canada lynx)
Lineage: Eukaryota; Metazoa; Chordata; Mammalia; Carnivora; Felidae
Exons: 3
Source: RefSeq, a predicted model, not a curated record